Molecule: transfer RNA, 62 nt
Filed under: Ictidomys tridecemlineatus (thirteen-lined ground squirrel)
Lineage: Eukaryota; Metazoa; Chordata; Mammalia; Rodentia; Sciuridae
Description: Spermophilus tridecemlineatus (thirteen-lined ground squirrel) tRNA
Rfam family: tRNA
About the family: Transfer RNA (tRNA) molecules are approximately 80 nucleotides in length. Their secondary structure includes four short double-helical elements and three loops (D, anti-codon, and T loops).
Source: Rfam by way of RNAcentral
GGGGUUGUAGCUCAGUGGUAGAGCGCUUGCCUAACAUGUAUGAGGUACUGGACUCAAUCCUC